This 422-nucleotide ribosomal RNA is filed under the name uncultured archaeon. RNAcentral describes it as "partial 16S ribosomal RNA". It matches the Rfam family "Archaeal small subunit ribosomal RNA", at positions 323 to 746 of the family's 1478-position model. The record is from RNAcentral.
CUACGGGGCGCUCCAGGCGAGAAAACUUUGCAAUGUGCGAAAGCACGACAAGGUUAAUCCGAGUGGUUUCUGCUAAAGGAACCUUUUGUCAGUCCUAGAAACACUGAUGAAUAAGGGGUGGGCAAGUUCUGGUGUCAGCCGCCGCGGUAAAACCAGCACCUCAAGUGGUCAGGAUGAUUAUUGGGCCUAAAGCAUCCGUAGCCGGCUCUGUAAGUUUUCGGUUAAAUCUGUACGCUCAACGUACAGGCUGCCGGGAAUACUGCAGAGCUAGGGAGUGGGAGAGGUAGACGGUACUCGGUAGGAAGGGGUAAAAUCCUUUGAUCUAUUGAUGACCACCUGUGGCGAAGGCGGUCUACCAGAACACGUCCGACGGUGAGGGAUGAAAGCUGGGGGAGCAAACCGGAUUAGAUACCCUGGUAGUC